UUUUUUGUAUUUUUGCAUUGUUUAUAAUUGUUAAUGGUGGUUCUAGGUCACUAGGUCCAUGGAACAUUGAGUCACUGCAAUGGAGUUUUUGGCAAUUGCAGGGCAAGUUCCUUUGUAGUUUUUUUCUUCUUCAUAUUUUAGGUUUAUAAAAAUCCAAAUUGGUUAAGCUAAUGUUUUUUGUCUUGGCUAGGCCAGUGGAUUUUUGUUGCAAUG
RNAcentral lists this unclassified non-coding RNA (213 nucleotides) under Hevea brasiliensis (rubber tree). The record is from RNAcentral. Lineage: Eukaryota; Viridiplantae; Streptophyta; Magnoliopsida; Malpighiales; Euphorbiaceae.